AUUGAACGCUGGCGGCAGGCCUAACACAUGCAAGUCGAACGGUAACAGGAAGAGGCUUGCUUCUUUGCUGACGAGUGGCGGACGGGUGAGUAAUGUCUGGGAAACUGCCUGAUGGAGGGGGAUAACUACUGGAAACGGUAGCUAAUACCGCAUAACGUCGCAAGACCAAGGAGGGGGACCUUCGGGCCUCUUGCCAUCUGAUGUGCCCAGAUGGGAUUAGCUAGUAGGUGGGGUAACGGCUCACCUAGGCGACGAUCCCUAGCUGGUCUGAGAGGAUGACCAGCCACACUGGAACUGAGACACGGUCCAGACUCCUACGGGAGGCAGCAGUGGGGAAUAUUGCACAAUGGGCGCAAGCCUGAUGCAGCCAUGCCGCGUGUAUGAAGAAGGCCUUCGGGUUGUAAAGUACUUUCAGCGGGGAGGAAGGGAGGAAAGUUAAUACCUUUGCUCAUUGACGUUACCCGCAGAAGAAGCACCGGCUAACUCCGUG
This 490-nucleotide ribosomal RNA is filed under the name uncultured bacterium. Its description in RNAcentral is "partial 16S ribosomal RNA". It matches the Rfam family "Bacterial small subunit ribosomal RNA", at positions 30 to 507 of the family's 1533-position model. The record is from RNAcentral.